UUUGUACUCCCUCUGUUCCGAAAUUCUUGUCUUAUAUUUAUCUAUAUACGGAUGUACCUAAUACUAAAACGUGAUUUGAUACAUCCGUAUUUGAACAAAUUUAAGACAAGAAUUUUGGGACGGACGGAGUAAUAG
Non-coding RNA from Triticum aestivum (bread wheat), 135 nucleotides. The record is from Rfam. NCBI's taxonomy places the organism in Eukaryota, Viridiplantae, Streptophyta, Magnoliopsida, Poales, Poaceae.